RNAcentral lists this ribosomal RNA (649 nucleotides) under Dyella sp. LLH-Slr-12. Its description in RNAcentral is "bacterial SSU rRNA". It matches the Rfam family "Bacterial small subunit ribosomal RNA", at positions 62 to 700 of the family's 1533-position model. The record is from RNAcentral. Lineage: Bacteria; Pseudomonadati; Pseudomonadota; Gammaproteobacteria; Lysobacterales; Rhodanobacteraceae.
UCGAACGGCAGCACAGCAGUAGCAAUACUGUGGGUGGCGAGUGGCGGACGGGUGAGUAAUGCAUCGGGAUCUACCCAAACGUGGGGGAUAACGUAGGGAAACUUACGCUAAUACCGCAUACGUCUUACGAGAGAAAGCAGGGGACCUUCGGGCCUUGCGCGGUUGGACGAACCGAUGUGCGAUUAGCUAGUUGGUAGGGUAAUGGCCUACCAAGGCGACGAUCGCUAGCUGGUCUGAGAGGAUGAUCAGCCACACUGGAACUGAGACACGGUCCAGACUCCUACGGGAGGCAGCAGUGGGGAAUAUUGGACAAUGGGCGCAAGCCUGAUCCAGCAAUGCCGCGUGUGUGAAGAAGGCCUUCGGGUUGUAAAGCACUUUUAUCAGGAGCGAAAUACUACCGGCUAAUAUCCGGUGGGGCUGACGGUACCUGAGGAAUAAGCACCGGCUAACUUCGUGCCAGCAGCCGCGGUAAUACGAAGGGUGCAAGCGUUAAUCGGAAUUACUGGGCGUAAAGCGUGCGUAGGCGGUUAUUUAAGUCUGUUGUGAAAUCCCCGGGCUCAACCUGGGAAUGGCAAUGGAUACUGGAUAGCUAGAGUGUGAUAGAGGAUGGUGGAAUUCCCGGUGUAGCGGUGAAAUGCGUACAGAUCGG